Acanthochromis polyacanthus (spiny chromis) is the source of this 658-nucleotide long non-coding RNA. RefSeq lists it as uncharacterized. Lineage: Eukaryota; Metazoa; Chordata; Actinopteri; Pomacentridae. The transcript has 3 exons. The record is from RefSeq and is a predicted model, not a curated record.
AAAAAAGAAGAAGAAGAAGAAAAGAGCUGACAGUGGAGGUGGAGGCUGCCCAAGGACAGUGGUAGCAGCAGAAUAUCAACCCAGAGCCAUUAGCCUCUCCGGGCCUGGUCACAGUUAUGACUCAGUUUUCAGAACUUCAUGAUGCUUCGUCUAAACCAUGGACUCAGCUCAGUUCCUUCACAGCUUUAGUUUUCCUUCUUCUAACACAAAACUGUUCAGGUCUUUCCCAGGUGGUCGGUCCGUCUCAGCCGGUCCUGGCAAUGGUUGGUGAUGACGUUCUUUUGUCUUGUCGGCUGGAACCUGCUAUUGAUGCUUCAGGCAUGUCUGUGGUGUGGUCCAGAGAAGACCUAGACCCUCGAUAUGUCUACGUGUGGCGGGCUGGAGAGGAACUGGAAAGUUCAAAACAUCCUGCUUAUAAAGGAAGAACAUCAUUGUUAUUUAGUAAACUAGAGUUUGGAGACGUUUCACUGAAACUCUCCAAAGUGAAACCGUCUGAUGAGGGAAAAUACAGAUGCUUCAUUCCUACUCUGGGUCGAGGAGCUACUGUUGAACUGGUUGUUGGUGAGUUAAUACUGAAAGUUCAAGACUCAGAUAUUUGGGGUUUGUCAGGUUUUCUAAACAUAUUUCUGUGUAUGAUCAGGGGCCUAUUUCACGAAGC